CAAGGACAUACAUAUCCAUCUUCUCUUGUACAUUGGAAAGUGAUUUCUGGGGAUGACAAGAGGACCUUUAGUCCACAGAGAGUCCUCUGCGGGUAACACGAGAAACUAGUGGGUACGAAGAUGCUAGUCAUGUGAGGCAGAUAAGAGAUCACGGUGCUCGUAACCGUGGUAGUCCAGAAACUAGUGGGUACGAAGAUGCUAGUCGUGCCAGGAGGCAUGCACGUCUUUCUCCUCGAAAGAGAACCAGUCUAGUUACCUAUGGGGUACCCUAUUUUACAACUACCGCCAGUGUCAGUGGCAGGUCAGUCACAUCUCCAUGCCAUGAAUUCUGGUCUUUCUAGAUGUCAAGCGGUAAAUGGAGUCUCUGCAACAGGAAAUCUUCACCCUAUUCGAGUAAACUCGGGCAAUGAGUAAGAACUUAGUCACUUAUUCUUCCAUGUACUGUUUCUUAACUUCGGUUAUAGCUUUCGUAUUUGUAAAAGUAAGAUUCAGUUGUGAAGCAGACCUGCUGAAACUUGUGGUUUAGUGGAUACCAUAACUGUAAUAACUU
This is a long non-coding RNA of Papaver somniferum (opium poppy), 550 nucleotides long. RefSeq lists it as uncharacterized. NCBI's taxonomy places the organism in Eukaryota, Viridiplantae, Streptophyta, Magnoliopsida, Ranunculales, Papaveraceae. The record is from RefSeq and is a predicted model, not a curated record. The transcript has 3 exons.